GACGAACGCUGGCGGCGUGCUUAACACAUGCAAGUCGAACGGAAAGGCCCUGCUUUUGUGGGGUGCUCGAGUGGCGAACGGGUGAGUACCAAGGGGUUACCAACCCUUGGAUUUGGGGCAAUCUUCAGGAAAAUGGGGACAAUAAGGGAUGGGAAUUCCCGCUGAAGGGUGGGGGUUGGAAAGUUCCGGCGGUUGGGAAUGGACUCGCGGCGUAUCAGCUUGUGGUUGGGGUAGUGGUUUACCAAGGCUUGGACGGGUAGCCGGACUGAGAGGGUGACGGGCCACAUUGGGACUGAGAUACGGCCCAGACUCCUACGGGAGGCAGCAGUGGGGAAUAGUGCACAAUGGGCGGAAGCCUGAUGCAGCAACGCCGCGUGCGGGAUGACGGCCUUCGGGUUGUAAACCGCUUUCGCCUGUGACGAAGCGUGAGUGACGGUAAUGGGUAAAGAAGCACCGGCUAACUACGUG
This 468-nucleotide ribosomal RNA is filed under the name uncultured bacterium. RNAcentral describes it as "partial 16S ribosomal RNA". It matches the Rfam family "Bacterial small subunit ribosomal RNA", at positions 28 to 507 of the family's 1533-position model. The record is from RNAcentral.